Non-coding RNA from Vicia faba (fava bean), 321 nucleotides. The record is from the annotation of a GenBank genome assembly. NCBI's taxonomy places the organism in Eukaryota, Viridiplantae, Streptophyta, Magnoliopsida, Fabales, Fabaceae.
AUGAGUGACAACAUUGAUGAUGAUGUUAAUGACCCAGUCAGUGUUGUUGAUGGUUAUAUCCCUAAGAACAACGAAGUUCAUGACCGGUCUACUCUUGUCAAGGAAAGUGUUACUAAAGAUGUUGGUCUUAAUAAAAAGUCCGACAAAAUGUCAAAGAAAAAGGUGGAAAAUAAAAAGGUUGUGUUGAAUGCUAAAAAGACUCCUUCCAAUAAGAUCCCUACUCCUACCAAGGCAAAGAAAACUCCUAAGAAGAAGAAGAAGAAAUAUGUGGUGGUUAGUAAGAAAUCAAUUAGGAAGAAAGGGAAUGUUGCUCAUUGUUGA